GAUGAACGCUGGCGGCGUGCCUAAUACAUGCAAGUCGAGCGAACGGACGAGAAGCUUGCUUCUCUGAUGUUAGCGGCGGACGGGUGAGUAACACGUGGAUAACCUACCUAUAAGACUGGGAUAACUUCGGGAAACCGGAGCUAAUACCGGAUAAUAUUUUGAACCGCAUGGUUCAAAAGUGAAAGACGGUCUUGCUGUCACUUAUAGAUGGAUCCGCGCUGCAUUAGCUAGUUGGUAAGGUAACGGCUUACCAAGGCAACGAUGCAUAGCCGACCUGAGAGGGUGAUCGGCCACACUGGAACUGAGACACGGUCCAGACUCCUACGGGAGGCAGCAGUAGGGAAUCUUCCGCAAUGGGCGAAAGCCUGACGGAGCAACGCCGCGUGAGUGAUGAAGGUCUUCGGAGCGUAAAACUCUGUUAUUAGGGAAGAACAUAUGUGUAAGUAACUGUGCACAUCUUGACGGUACCUAAUCAGAAAGCCACGGCUAACUACGU
Molecule: ribosomal RNA, 496 nt
Filed under: uncultured bacterium
Lineage: Bacteria
Description: partial 16S ribosomal RNA
Rfam family: Bacterial small subunit ribosomal RNA
Source: RNAcentral